Molecule: long non-coding RNA, 2406 nt
Filed under: Amborella trichopoda
Lineage: Eukaryota; Viridiplantae; Streptophyta; Magnoliopsida; Amborellales; Amborellaceae
Description: long non-coding RNA (ATRI_LNC004296)
Source: RNAcentral
UAUGUUUUGCUUUAUUUCCAUGUUAUAGGUUUGAAUCAUGUGUUGUACUUUCAUUUUUAUUGUUAACUGAUUACAAAUGCAUGGGUCCUUGCAUUGUAAAAUACUUAACUGGAUUUUUCCAUUUUUUAUGAUAUAUCUAAAGUUCAUUGACUAAAAUUCUUUUUCAUUACUUCAAAUUUAACUAUUGUAUUCUACACCAAUGAUAUUAGAUUUUGAUGUAUAGAUAUUGAAAAAUGAAUGGGUCUUUGCGUUUUAAUGAAAUAUAUGUUUUUUCUUUCAUGAUUUAUGGUCUAUCUGAAGUCCUUUGCCUAAAAUCUUUUUCAUUACUUCAAAUUCAAUUAUUGGACCAUGCACCAAUCAUAUUAGGUGUUUGAUAUAUAGAUAGUAAUGUCACUCACGUCUAUAGGUUAAAUGUGGUGUUUAUUGUGGUCUACUGAGUGUGGGCAUGGUCAGACCUCAUGGUUCCUAUCUUUAGGGAAAUUGGCGUGGCUAGAUUGAUGCAGGUGUUGUAGACUAAAACAUGUACUAUGAUGUGCUAGUUGUGGGCUUAUGGUGUCUUCAUUAGAUGGGGAUCAAUAUCAGCUGCACUUUUUGCUUUAUGAAUGUUGCCUCUUAGAUUGAUUGCAGUGGUACCAAAAAAGAUUCACAAGAUAAUUUGUUGGAAAACAUGUUGUGUAUAAUGGGAAUCAAACCAACAUUAUAGGGAAAUAUGGGUAGAUCAAUAGUGAAUAAUAAAAAGAUGCAUUUAAUAAAAAAAUAGAAUCAUUAGAAAACAUCAAAUAAUCAGCAAGGAUAUCUAAUUCUAAAAAACAAUCGGCAAGGAUUUCUAGUAACUUAGGGCUUGUUUGAAAGGUGGAAGGCCCCUUUGCCACAAAAAUGUAGGAAAACCACACUCCCUUAUUUUUGGCUUCCACCGUUUAAACACGCCUUUAAAGAAUUUAGAACUAAGUCUACCAAACCUAGUGUAUGUAUGUUCUUAUUUCUCUUAUGUUGAGUUUAGAACUACACAUGGUGAUUAUUUUUUAUGUUGAAUUAUCAGGUUCAUUUUUAAUCAUUUAUAUCUUAAAAUAAUUGAACCAUAGCAAAUUCUAGGGAAGACCCUGCAUGGUAACAUGGGAUCAUAUUUGAUCCCAACUAAAAAGAUAAAAUUAUUUGUAAUUACUGCCAAAAAGUGAUUAGUAUUGGGGUAUUUAGGUUCAAACAAUACUUGGCAUGAGUUAAGGGAGAUGUUUCUGCGUACAAUAGUGUCCCUAGCAAUGUAAGAAAAUAGAUUACGACCAUUCUCAAGGCUACCGAGGGUAAAAAAGUCACAAAGUAGAGGAUGAAUGAGGAGAUAGCUUGCUUAUACGCCAUUGAGCGGAAAGAAUCCCAAAGAGCAAUAUAAUCAUGACUUGGAUAUGACCACAAAAAUAGGCUUGCACGAAACGUACCAGAGGGAAAGCGAGUUCAUAAUGCCUGGGGGUUAUGGCAUGGGCAUGCAUGACGGGCCCAACCCAAGCAUGGAUGGUAGGGCUAGCUCGAGCAUGCAUAGCGGGGCCAGCUCGAGCAUGUAUGGCAGGCCCAGCUCGAAUAUGUAUGGAGGAGUUGGUGGUAAUAUGUGUCCAGAGGCACCAAACGUUGAAGAAAUUAUUCCUGGCUUAUCUAGAAGCACCAGUAUUGCAGGUUAUGAUCGUAUAGACCCAUUUCUCUCAAAGCCCAAGUCACAACAAAUGACCCUCACAUGCAUACCGAAAGGUACAAGGAACAUGUUGGGCAGUUAUGUUGGUAAAUAGUUAUAUGAUAAAGGGAUUCCCUUUGAUGCAGCCAAUAUUUCAUAUUUCCCGCCUAUGGUCAACGCAAUCCAUAGAGCCGGGCUAGGGGUAAAGCCCCCGAUUGCACAUGAGCUCAGUGGGCCAAUCUUGGAUGAAGAGGUGGAGGAAGUUAGAAGGCGGAUUGAAGAAUAUAAACAGGGUUGGCCAAGAACAGAAAUUACUCGCAUGAGUGAUGAUUGGUUGAAUAAAGUUAACAAAAAAGAUUAUCUUAACUUCUUGGCAUAUUCUCCAAAGGUACAACCUUUUUGUCUAGCAAAGAUGUCACAGGGAAAAAGAAGGUUGCAAACUUCUUAGUACGACUAUAUGACUCGAUAGUGGAGGAUGUGGGAGAUAAGCAUGUGGACUAGUUUAUUACGGACAAUGGGGGUGCUUGUGUUUUUGCGGGCAGCAAGUUGAUGGAUAAGAUGAAGCAUUGCGGGCAGCAAGUUGAUGGAUAAGAUGAAGCAUCUAGUAUGGACCCCGUGUGCUGCACACAUCAUCGAUCUUAUAUUAGAAGAGAUCGAUGAGAUCAAAAUUGUGAAGGAGACUCUAGAAGCAGCAAUGUUCGUGUUAAGAUUUAUAUAUAACCACUCUAAAAUCUUAUUUUUGUUCAGAG